RNAcentral lists this long non-coding RNA (3164 nucleotides) under Panax ginseng (ginseng). RNAcentral's name for it is "long non-coding RNA (PGIN_LNC002921)". The record is from RNAcentral. Lineage: Eukaryota; Viridiplantae; Streptophyta; Magnoliopsida; Apiales; Araliaceae.
GAAUACAAUAAUUCGUUCUGAGCCUCUGGCUUUCCAAAAGAUUUCGACUUGCUGAGAUUAAUUUGCAAAGGACUGUCAUUUUCCCCUCUAAAUAUUCAAAGUAAGCCCCUGAAUUUCUUCAUCUUCUCAUUUAAUUCAAGUUUUUUUUGGGUCUUAAUUCGAAUCAUGCCUUUGUUCGGUAUAAACAACGCUGGAAUUAAUGUAUUAGGUUUAUACUUUUUGUAUCUUGUUGAUGAAAAACUCUCAUACUCGAUUUUGAUUAUGGCAGUAGGCUAUGUGUUUGUUUAUAUGCUUGUAUGAAAUAUGGGACAAUUUUUUUUUUGUGUGUCUGUGCCUGUUUGAUAGCAAAAUGUUGUUUAAUUCUAAAGUUGCAAUCAAUUAUAAGCUUCAGUUUCUAUGCAUUCAUAAUUCUGCUAUUACCUCUCUGGAAAUUUUGUGUAUUUUUUUUGAGAUUCUUUUAUGUCCUUCUAUGUGGGUGGGAAUGCAAUAUGCUUAAUCUUGUUUAUAGUAGUGGAUACUAGAGGUGAAGCUACAGUUACUGUGCCGUAUAUAUGUGUAUGUGUGUGUGAAAGAGAGAGUAAUAGGCGAAGAUACGUUUUAUGUCGCACUUAGUUCUUCUUGGGAAUCUUCUUAAAUGAUUUCUAGGAUUUUAUCUGUGCACAAACUUAAUUAUCAUCCUCUCUGCUUGAGCCUUCUCCGUUCUUUCAUAUUAAUGGAAUUGUGCUCCAAUGUUAUUGGAUGACAUUUACUUCAUUUCACUGUCCAGUAUUGGAUUUUUUUUUGGCUGCAUCUCUGUAUUGAGUUCUUUUGGAAUUUAUAUAAUCUGGGUUCAAAUUAGUAGAGUAAGAUUACAUUUUUUACUUCUAUAAAAAUUGGGUAAAAACAACAACUUAUUAUCUUGAUACUAAACUGUAUUAUUUUUUAUUUUGGUCAUUUGAGAUAAAUGUGGUUUCCUUUUGUGUGCUGAGAUAUUAGAACGAAGUGUCUGGACUAGAAACAAAAGAAUAAAUAUCAUUCCAUAAGCAAAGAUUACAAGAAUCAUACAAGGAAAAAGAGUCCAGCAAAUGGUGAUCAACAUUAAUAGAUGAUGCAAAUCCAGACAAAGAAAAAUAAUGUAGCAGGUCGACGCGGCUAAUGAAGAGGAAAAAUUUCCGUGUCACACUAACAUUGAUUUUCUAUCUAUUCUCUUCAUUGGCUCCUUCUCCGCCAUCGUUAACGCCGCCACCCAGCUCUCCUCCAUAUUAGUGAAGCCACCUUUGUCAAAUCUAAUACCUCAACCACCACAAUUUUGUCGUCAAAUUCUACUCCUCUGUUUUACUUUGACACUUGGUCCUCUAUCCUCUCAGCCUUCUCUCUCUCUCUCUAUAUAUAUAUAUAUAUAUUAUAUAUAUAUCAAGCUUAUCUGUUUUCCCUUAGUUUCAAAUCCUCUCUUGAAUCAUGAAUCGAUACACUAUUCCUCAAUGUUAAAUUUUGCUUGUUACAUUUGGUGUUUCAAGCCUUGUGUGUAUGAAGCCUAUCACAAGCAUUGGAUCCUCUCUCAUGGUCUGAAAUAUAUGUUACAUAGUUUUAACCCAAAAUUAUUUGGGUUCAACCUACUCAAUAGGUUAUAUACUUUUGGUUUUUAACUAACCUAAAAGCAUAUACUCCCUCCAUUGCAAAAUAUAGUAUCUUUAUUGACUUUUUGAAGUCAAUUUGAGAUAUUUUCGAACUCAAAAUUGACAUAGAUUCAUUUGUUUUAGUCAAUAAAAUUAAGAAUAGUGUAAUAGUGUAAACUAUCUAAAAAGUACUACUAAUUAUAAGCUUUAUUGCUUCAUAACUUUAAUGAAUCUUGUCAAUUUGAGUUUAAAAAUGUCUCAAAUUGACUUUCAAAUGUCAAUAAUAAUCUUAUAAUUUGGAAAAAAACGAAGUAUUAAUAAUCUUAUAAUGUGAAAUGGACGGAGUAUUAUUUAACCCAAACCCAACCCAACCCAACCCAACCUAACCCAAACUAAAUUUUGCCAGGUCUAUAUGUAUGUAUAAUUCUUUUUGGGCUCACGGGAGAUACCCUAUGAAUUUUCUAACUUAGAUACCUAACUUUGUUAUACUAUGUAGUAAAUUAAAAGUAAUUGUAAUAUCUCUUUGAAUUUAGAAUAUUAGUUAGUCACGUUUUCACAUUUAAGCACAUAUUUGCUGUGUUAAAAAAGAAGAAGCCCACAUUUACUACACUUAUUAUUGUCUAUCCCCAUAUUUCUCAAAAUUAUGUAAUAUUAGAGGUUAUUUUAGAUACCCGAUUUGGGCUGCUAACAGACUAUCAAAGACUUCACCAUCAUCAUCUUUAAUUUUCUAUGUUUAAUCCAUGUAUAGUUAUUAGUUCACUGUUUGAUUUGUAUACUUUUUUCUUUAGUUCUAGCGAAGCUUUUACUGAUUAUUUUGAUUUAUAAUCCAUAAUUUUUUAAGGUGAUGAAUCAAAGGUCGUGCAGGUAAAGUUGAGGCAGUGCGCGAAAAAAUAGUUAUUAGUUCGGCUCAACAUUCUUAUUCAGCAAUAUAACUAUAAGGCGAAAUACCACAUGAACUUUGUCUAUCACCUGGUAUUGCAGUGAAGUUACAUGUAUGUUCAGGUACUAAAUUUUCAUGUUUCUCGAAUGUAAAAUUGAUUUUUAUAUCUGAAAGUACAAUAGUGCUCUAUAGAUUUCAUCCCAUUCUAGUGAAAAUUAAUGGUCGCUAAUAUACUAUAUUUUACAUUUUUAUUUUCAUUUCUUCUAAUUAGCUCUCCCUUCAAGCGAUCAAUAAUUCUAACUUUGACUGCUUAAGUACUUGCAUAUGCAAGCUUUUGACUCUGUCCCUAAUUUGAUUCGGUAUUUUCCACUUACAAGUCCUGUUCUCUUUACUCAAUUUAUGCUUCUUUUUUUGUUUUGUUUUGUUUUGGGUUGGGUGAUAAAAUUUGUACUCAUAACACUUGCAAUGCAAGCUUUUGUUUUCUUUCUUUCUUUUUCUGAUGUUACUUCAUUAUUUGUCUAUUUUGAUUGCAGCCAGCCUGCAAGGGUAGGCCUUUUUUAACAUCUCAUCUGCUGAAAUUUGCCGGUUAUCGGUUAUAUUCUACUGCUACCAGUUGUAUUCAGAUAUCAACUAAUGGAAGUGAGAGCAACAAUAGAGAGAUUGAUUUUGAGCUUCUGUUCCAAUCAUGC